This 73-nucleotide transfer RNA is filed under the name Solenostomus cyanopterus (ghost pipefish). Its description in RNAcentral is "tRNA-Asn". It matches the Rfam family "tRNA". Rfam says of the family: Transfer RNA (tRNA) molecules are approximately 80 nucleotides in length. The record is from RNAcentral. Lineage: Eukaryota; Metazoa; Chordata; Actinopteri; Syngnathiformes; Solenostomidae.
UGGACGGAUGCUUGUUGGUUUAAGUGCUUAGCUGUUAACUAGGAGAUUGCAAGAUCGAAGCUUGCCUGUCCAG